GAGCCUGUAGCUCAGCCUGGUACGAGCACUGCUCUGAUACGGCAGGGGUCCAAGGUUCAAAUCCUUGCAGGCUCA
RNAcentral lists this transfer RNA (75 nucleotides) under Nanobdellota archaeon. Its description in RNAcentral is "tRNA-Ile". It matches the Rfam family "tRNA". From Rfam's summary of the family: Transfer RNA (tRNA) molecules are approximately 80 nucleotides in length. Their secondary structure includes four short double-helical elements and three loops (D, anti-codon, and T loops). Lineage: Archaea; Nanobdellati; Nanobdellota. The record is from RNAcentral. RNAcentral also lists the same sequence under 1 other name.